CACUAUGCUUAGCCCUAAACAUAGAUAGAAUUCCACCCCCCUAUCCGCCCGGGUACUACGAGCAUUAGCUUGAAACCCAAAGGACUUGGCGGUGCUUCAGACCCAUCUAGAGGAGCCUGUUCUAGAACCGAUAACCCCCGUUAAACCUCACCCCUCCUCGUUUCUCCCGCCUAUAUACCGCCGUCGCAAGCUUACCCCGUGAGGGGCUAGUAGUGAGCUUAAUUGGCACAGCCCAAAACGUCAGGUCGAGGUGUAGCUUAUGGAAGGGCAAGAAAUGGGCUACAUUCCCUCGCACAGGGAAUACAGAUAACGCGCUGAAACGCGCAUUUGAAGGUGGAUUUAGUAGUAAGCAGAAAAUAGAGUGUUCUGCUGAAACUGGCUCUGAGGCGCGCACACACCGCCCGUCACUCUCCCCUAACACACCUAAAAUUUCCUUAAAUAAGAUUAUACCUGUGUAAAGGGGAGGCAAGUCGUAA
RNAcentral lists this ribosomal RNA (476 nucleotides) under Gerres longirostris (longtail silverbiddy). RNAcentral describes it as "partial small subunit ribosomal RNA". It matches the Rfam family "Bacterial small subunit ribosomal RNA", at positions 788 to 1491 of the family's 1533-position model. The record is from RNAcentral. Lineage: Eukaryota; Metazoa; Chordata; Actinopteri; Gerreiformes; Gerreidae.